This 370-nucleotide long non-coding RNA is filed under the name Bos taurus (domestic cattle). RNAcentral describes it as "long non-coding RNA NONBTAT013450". The record is from RNAcentral. Lineage: Eukaryota; Metazoa; Chordata; Mammalia; Artiodactyla; Bovidae.
GAAGUUAGUGAGAAUGAACAAAAAUAAGCAAAUGAAUGCCUUUUUCAACAGCAGUGUUAGGCUCAUCAACUCUAAGCUGAUAGAUGCAUUCUUUUGCCAAAAUAGUAUAUUCUUAAACUACCACAGUCACUGAAUCAGCAUUCUCCCAGUGCAAGACCAAGACUUUAAGAGGUUAGACAGUUGUGAAGCAAGCGUUUUGUGCAGGGGCCCACAUCUCAGCAGUAAGGUUAGCAAAGAAGGACCUCUCCCAAUAAAAACGAGAAGCAUCCUUCUGUUUUGACUGUCUAAACUGUCUUUUAGUGCAAAGAGAUUGUUACUUGAACUUAAUAGGUCUCAAUCUUUUCCUGAUUACAUUUACAUUUUUUCUCUU